UACGGAAGGCAGCAGUGGGGAAUAUUGCACAAUGGGCGAAAGCCUGAUGCAGCUAUGCCGCGUGUAUGAAGAAGGCCUUAGGGUUGUAAAGUACUUUCAUCGGGGAGGAAAAAACAAAACUAAUAAUUUUAUUUCUUGACGUUACCCGAAAAAGAAGCACCGGCUAACUCCGUGCCAGCAGCCGCGGUAAUACGGAGGGUGCUAGCGUUAAUCAGAAUUACUGGGCGUAAAGAGCACGUAGGCGGUUUUUUUAAAGUCAGAUGUGAAAUCCCUGGGCUUAACCUAGGAACUGCAUUUUGAAACUGAAAUACUAGAGUAUCGUAGAGGGAGGUAGAAUUCUAGGUGUAGCGGUGAAAUGCGUAGAUAUCUGGAGGAAUACCUGUGGCGAAAGCGGCCUCCUAAACGAAUACUGACACUGAGGUGCGAAAAGCGUGGGGAGCAAACAGGGAUUAGAUACC
RNAcentral lists this ribosomal RNA (458 nucleotides) under uncultured bacterium. RNAcentral's name for it is "bacterial SSU rRNA". It matches the Rfam family "Bacterial small subunit ribosomal RNA", at positions 340 to 786 of the family's 1533-position model. The record is from RNAcentral.